Long non-coding RNA from Trichechus manatus latirostris (Florida manatee), 495 nucleotides. RefSeq lists it as uncharacterized. The transcript has 3 exons. NCBI's taxonomy places the organism in Eukaryota, Metazoa, Chordata, Mammalia, Sirenia, Trichechidae. The record is from RefSeq and is a predicted model, not a curated record.
CAGCCAGUCCAGUGACUAGACCGGAAGACCUGGUGCAUGCUUCUGGUGGCAGCUGGCAAUCCUUGUCUUGUGGCUGCAUCACCCCAAAAUUCAAGACAAGCUUCUCAUAAAUCCACAGACGCAUUUGGAAUCACUAGAGAAGAGCAUCAACAUGUGCUUUGAAAUGUAAGUAAAAUGUUUCUUCUUCAGGAUGCUUGCAGUCAAAGUCAAUUCUUCUGUAAAGCAGAGCUCUUGAGACCACCUCCAGAGAAGAGCUUUUCCUUGAAAUGGGCUUGCUCAUUCCCACAUUAACCUGAUUAUUCCCCUCUCAUUAAAGCUAGUGAUUUCGAAACUUUCUCUAGAGAAAAAAUGCCCUAGAUAUUUGUAAUUCUAUUUCUGGUCCCUGUGUUUUCGAGGAUGUCACCAUUCCUUGCCUCCUGUGACUAAUACACACUGUUCCUCAGAGCCAAUCCACUUCCGCAUUUAGAAAGUGGCUAUUGGUGAAGUUGCCAGCAA